This 817-nucleotide ribosomal RNA is filed under the name uncultured Pseudomonadota bacterium. RNAcentral's name for it is "bacterial SSU rRNA". It matches the Rfam family "Bacterial small subunit ribosomal RNA", at positions 73 to 867 of the family's 1533-position model. The record is from RNAcentral. Lineage: Bacteria; Pseudomonadati; Pseudomonadota.
GUUUCCUUCGGGGAAUGAGUAAAGUGGCGCACGGGUGAGUAACACGUAGGUAAUCUACCUUCGGGUGGGGAAUAACGCAGGGAAACUUGCGCUAACACCGCAUAAUGCAGCGGCACCACAUGGUGACAGUUGUUAAAGCGGGGGAUUUUAGGACCUCGCGCCUGAAGAGGAGCCUGCGGCAGAUUAGCUAGUUGGUAGGGUAACGGCUUACCAAGGCGACGAUCUGUAACCGGCCUGAGAGGGCGGUCGGUCACACUGACACUGACAUACGGGUCAGACUCCUACGGGAGGCAGCAGUCGGGAAUUUUGGGCAAUGGGCGAAAGCCUGACCCAGCAACGCCGCGUGAAGGAUGAAAUCCUUCGGGAUGUAAACUUCGCAAGAAUGGGAAGAAUGAGCGAGUACUAAUACUGCUCGUGAUGACGGUACCAUUUGUAAGCUCCGGCUAACUCCGUGCCAGCAGCCGCGGUAAUACGGGGGGAGCAAGCGUUGUUCGGAUUUACUGGGCGUAAAGGGCGCGUAGGCGGUCAGCACAAGUCAGUUGUGAAAUCUCCGGGCUUAACUCGGAAAGGUCAACUGAUACUGUGCGACUAGAGUGCGGAAGGGGCAACUGGAAUUCUCGGUGUAGCGGUGAAAUGCGUAGAUAUCGAGAGGAACACCUGCGGCGAAGGCGGGUUGCUGGGCCGACACUGACGCUGAUGCGCGAAAGCCAGGGGAGCGAACGGGAUUAGAUACCCCGGUAGUCCUGGCCUUAAACGAUGGAUGCUUGGUGUCCGGAGUUUUAUAGUCUCCGGGUGCCGUAGCUAACGCGUUAAGCAU